GCCCGCCUAGCUCAAUCGGAUAGAGCGUCAGACUCUUACGGCGGGUAGAAAAACCGAAUCUGAAGGCUGCGAGUUCGACCCUCGCGGUGGGCU
Molecule: transfer RNA, 93 nt
Rfam family: tRNA
About the family: Transfer RNA (tRNA) molecules are approximately 80 nucleotides in length. Their secondary structure includes four short double-helical elements and three loops (D, anti-codon, and T loops).
Source: Rfam